CAUGCCCAAGCUUAUCUACCAACCUCCACUCAAUCCUGUUGUGUCAACCAGCUUGGGGAUCGCUUCUUCUUUAUCAUAAGGCACGUGAGCAUACAAAAAGAGUGUAAAGAAGAUGAGAUAAAAUGUGAGAAGAGAAGAAGAUACAAAGAAGAAAGUCAUUGUUCAGCCCUUGGAGAUGCAAUGGAUCUUGGAAAUGGAUGGAGGUGCUCGAAAAUUGAAGAGAGAUCGCGCUGGACUGUCUCCGUCCAAUGUAUCUACGUUUUCCAUGUGAGGCGGAAUGAUUCCGUUCUGGCACAUGCGUGACGGCGACGGCGGAAAUUCAACAUAAAGCGACGUUUGGCCAUUGGUCUUAAUUUGCUUAUAAUUAAGUUGAAGAUGAGAAGGGAUCGGAUUAUCCGGUGGUGGCCGUCAUUAAUGUGGAAAUCUGGGACUUACACGGAACCGAGAUGAAGUCAACUUGUGUACACGGACUAGAAAUUAAAUGAAUGGUUCUUUUUAUUUUGCUGA
This is a long non-coding RNA of Nymphaea colorata (pocket water lily), 507 nucleotides long. RefSeq lists it as uncharacterized. The record is from RefSeq and is a predicted model, not a curated record. The transcript has 2 exons. Lineage: Eukaryota; Viridiplantae; Streptophyta; Magnoliopsida; Nymphaeales; Nymphaeaceae.